CCCUGCGCAGGCUUAGAAGAGGCAGGAUGACCGCAAUCUGAAGAAGUAGACUGCGCAAUGAUUUCGGUGGUGAUCUUGGGAGAAAUUUGGGGUAAAGUAACACGGAUUUCAUGCCCCCCUGUUUGCUAUGUGCUUAGCAGAAAUUCGGAUUCACGCUCUCCAUUCCUGCAUGUGCGCGCGCGGAUUGGUUCUGCUCACAGCAUCAAUCACAGAAGUUUAUUGAUGCAAAACACAAAGGUUCAUGCAGAGAUGCAUAGCUGGCGAAGUUACCAGGAAUAAGCAACUAGUGUGUUCUGGGCCUUAAAUAGGACAACCACGCAGAAGAGGAGGCACAAAGAAUAUUUGGAGACCAGCACAAUCAGCCUAUGAGACAAUUAGGAGAGUGGAGGUUGGCAGUAAAUGCCCAAAAACUUCCAAGGACUUGGAUUACCUGUCAAAUUCUUGGGUGUUAUCUGGAUAGCCCAGGGUAACUUUGCAAUCUCUUGGGCUCUCACAUGUGCAUAACUCUACAAUGUGACUCAAUGUUGGAUCUGUAUGGAGCUGUCCCCUGAUAGGAUGGGAGGACUACCAUGGCACGUAACCCCAGCCACUUAUGACAAUUGGACUGCUUUGUGAAGAUGGAACUGGAAUGGUUCGUCUGGUUUGGGAUGGGACCAACAAAGACUGAGGAUUGAAGCCCUCUUAUGGAAUAACCGUGACAACACCCCUCCCCUGUUGGGACAUGUGGUAUACAGUGGGUGGGGAUUGAUGGAAAAUGUUUGUGUCUGAUUGACAGACAUGGUCCCAAUGUGUAUUGAACAGAAACAUAGAGAUACAUAGUGAGGUAGGUUGGAUACCCCCAUGUUCUGUAAUGUUACAAUAUAGAAUAGAAAGAAUACAUAGUGGGAUGUCCUCCAAUCUACAGGUACUAAAUUCACUGACUUUCUUCUCCCAGGGUCGAUUUGGGUAUGAGAUCAGUUUGUAUGGCGUUACCUCUCAGCUACAUGGAUAGGGCAAUGUACUUGGAGACGUUUGUAUAUCCUGGCUGAAUCCUAAGCACUCUCUUAUCACAGCCACAUAAUUUGGAUAUUAUGGUGCAUUGCUUGCAUCAAAGGCACCCCUGGACUGCAUGUGCUGCCUGGUGGUUUUAUCUGAUGGCUAUAUUUGUACCCGAGGCAGGCACAAUAGCCAUAGGAUUACAAGUAGAAACCUUUGCCCAACAUGUGGCCUAAUUCUUGAACAUAACUCGGAAUGUACUUGAUUUACUGUUAGAUGAGACAACCCAGAUGAGGAAUAUGGUAUUACAGAAAUAGGAUGGCCUUAGAUUUACUCACUGUUGCCCAAGGAGGGCCCUGAGGAAUGCUUUGUGUACAUCUCAGAUCAUGUACAGGAUAUUGCACAGGUACUGCAAGAAAUGGAUAUGAAGGUUUAUUCAAUUCUGGAACUCACUGAAAACCCCUUCAUAUCUUGAUGGGCAUCUUUAGAAUCUGUGUAGCAAUAUACCCUCAUAAAUUUAGCUUUAGUUACAGGUAUCUUAGUCAUAGUUUGCCAUUCUUUAUAUUGCUUUUGUCGUUUAUGUGCCCAAGGAACAUUCUCUGGGUGAGAAGAGCAUAUGCUCAUCAGGUCUUCAAGUCUAGAAGUGGAAUGUAGAGACAAAUACUUAAGAUAGCAAUAGGCUUGAUUUGGGGCCAAACAUACAAAAUCGCCACUAUGUUAUAUAACCAUGGUUUAUCCGUCGCACCUGCACUCACUGGCUAUAAUAGCACCCUGUGACUGGAAAUAAACAUAUUUUGCAUUGUG
This is a long non-coding RNA of Jaculus jaculus (lesser Egyptian jerboa), 1779 nucleotides long. RefSeq lists it as uncharacterized. The record is from RefSeq and is a predicted model, not a curated record. Lineage: Eukaryota; Metazoa; Chordata; Mammalia; Rodentia; Dipodidae. The transcript has 4 exons.